RNAcentral lists this ribosomal RNA (403 nucleotides) under uncultured bacterium. Its description in RNAcentral is "bacterial SSU rRNA". It matches the Rfam family "Bacterial small subunit ribosomal RNA", at positions 355 to 774 of the family's 1533-position model. The record is from RNAcentral.
UGGGGAAUAUUGGGCAAUGGAGGAAACUCUGACCCAGCAACGCCGCGUGAAGGAUGAAGGUUUUCGGAUUGUAAACUUCUGUCGCGAGGGAUGAAGAAUGACGGUACCUCGUAAGAAAGCCCCGGCAAACUACGUGCCAGCAGCCGCGGUAAUACGGGGGGUGCAAGCGUUGUCCGGAAUCAUUGGGCGUAAAGCGUUCGUAGGCGGUAUAUCAAGUCUGGUGUUAAAGCCCGGGGCUCAACUCCGGUUCAGCAUCGGAUACUGGUAAACUAGAAUGCGGUAGAGGUAAGGGGAAUUCCUGGUGUAGCGGUGAAAUGCGUAGAUAUCAGGAGGAACAUCGGUGGCGAAAGCGCCUUACUGGGCCGUUAUUGACGCUGAGGAACGAAAGCCGGGGGAGCAAACA